RNAcentral lists this ribosomal RNA (429 nucleotides) under Gemmatimonadota bacterium. RNAcentral describes it as "Gemmatimonadetes bacterium partial 16S ribosomal RNA". It matches the Rfam family "Bacterial small subunit ribosomal RNA", at positions 355 to 776 of the family's 1533-position model. The record is from RNAcentral. Lineage: Bacteria; Pseudomonadati; Gemmatimonadota.
UAGGGAAUCUUCGGCAAUGGACGAAAGUCUGACCGAGCAACGCCGCGUGAGUGAAGAAGGUUUUCGGAUCGUAAAACUCUGUUGUUAGAGAAGAACAAGGACGUUAGUAACUGAACGUCCCCUGACGGUAUCUAACCAGAAAGCCACGGCUAACUACGUGCCAGCAGCCGCGGUAAUACGUAGGUGGCAAGCGUUGUCCGGAUUUAUUGGGCGUAAAGCGAGCGCAGGCGGUUUCUUAAGUCUGAUGUGAAAGCCCCCGGCUCAACCGGGGAGGGUCAUUGGAAACUGGGAGACUUGAGUUCAGAAGAGGAGAGUGUAAUUCCAUGUGUAGCGGUGAAAUGCGUAGAUAUAUGGAGGAACACCAGUGGCGAAGGCGGCUCUCUGGUCUGUAUCUGACGCUGAGGCUCGAAAGCGUGGGGAGCAAACAGG